CUGCGGAAGGAUCAUUACCGAGUGAGGGCCCUCUGGGUCCAACCUCCCACCCGUGUUUAUUUUACCUUGUUGCUUCGGCGGGCCCGCCUUAACUGGCCGCCGGGGGGCUUACGCCCCCGGGCCCGCGCCCGCCGAAGACACCCUCGAACUCUGUCUGAAGAUUGAAGUCUGAGUGAAAAUAUAAAUUAUUUAAAACUUUCAACAACGGAUCUCUUGGUUCCGGCAUCGAUGAAGAACGCAGCGAAAUGCGAUACGUAAUGUGAAUUGCAAAUUCAGUGAAUCAUCGAGUCUUUGAACGCACAUUGCGCCCCCUGGUAUUCCGGGGGGCAUGCCUGUCCGAGCGUCAUUGCUGCCCUCAAGCCCGGCUUGUGUGUUGGGCCCCGUCCCCCGAUCUCCGGGGGACGGGCCCGAAAGGCAGCGGCGGCACCGCGUCCGGUCCUCGAGCGUAUGGGGCUUUGUCACCCGCUCUGUAGGCCCGGCCGGCGCUUGCCGAUCAACCCAAAUUUUUAUCCAGGUUGACCUCGGAUCAGGUAGGGAUACCCGCUGAACUUAAGCAUAUCAAUA
RNAcentral lists this ribosomal RNA (564 nucleotides) under Penicillium crustosum. Its description in RNAcentral is "eukaryotic LSU rRNA". The stretch from base 194 to 346 matches the Rfam family "5.8S ribosomal RNA". Lineage: Eukaryota; Fungi; Ascomycota; Eurotiomycetes; Eurotiales; Aspergillaceae. The record is from RNAcentral.